UUCAGCCCUUCACGCCCGCAGGCAGAGCCAUCAUCACUCACCGCGCCUCACGUCCUUUCUCCUCCCAUCACGCCUCCCGAUAUCCUCCGCCAAGGGCAGAUCCCGGCCAGCUCCGGCGAGUCCUCGCGCUGCUCAACACCGCCCCGGCACCACAUCCUCGUCCUCCACCGAUUCCAUGCCGCGGAUUUACCCCAUCUUGUUGGCGCCGCCGGACCCCUUCAAUGUGGCUCCAGGCCAGGCGACGAACCCGUGGCGGCGCGGUUGGCUUUCUCGCCGGUGCGCGCGUGCAUCGGUUGGUUCGUGCUCGGCGCUCCGUCGAGAUCGCCAGACCGCGUCGCGCGCGUGGCCGAUGCAGUUGGGUGUGCGCUCAUGCCACCGUUUGUCCGCAGUUUUGCAGGAAGACCCAAGACCAAUGCAUCUCCUCUGUGGAGGGGAUAGAGGCUUGUCCGUCGGCAUUUCCGGCGCGGCUCCCCGGUUGACAUGGACUGCUUCGCGGCUUUCCUGUUGCCUGUGCCGCCCGCCACGUGAGGCCACCGUAUGUCUGCAGUCACAGGGACUGAAAUUCAUCUCGUCUUGUUGGCGCCGCCGAACCCUGCAACGUGGCUCCAGGCCCAGAUCCUUCAGCGACGAACCUGUGGCGGCGCGGGUGGAUUUAUAGCCGGUGCACGCGUGCAUCGGUUGGUUAGUUCGCGGCACUCCGUCGAGCUCGCCAGACCGUGUCGCGUGUGUUGCCGAUGCAGAUGGGAGGACGCUGCAUGCCGGACACCAGGACGGGACGGCGGCUACGCGAGCCAUGGAGGGCUUCUCAUGCCGCCUUCCUCCACGCGCUGCAAGACCCAAGACCCAGGUGUCUCCUCUGAGGAGGGGACAUAGGCUUGUCCGUCGAUAUUGCCGGCGCGACUCCCCGGUUGGCAUGGACUGCUUCGUGGCUUUAUCAUGGCCCGCGUCGCUGGCCAUGUGAGGCCACCGUCUGUCUGCAGCCAUUGGAGUGUCUCGGAGCAAGGCGCCUCGCCAUAUUGGAAGAGGGCUUAGUGUGUGAACGUGAUGAAUGUCACACCCUUGCAGCCGUUGGAGUGGACGGUGGACUGUCUCGGAGGAGGGCGACUAGCCAGAUUGGCAGCGGGUACAUCUCGCAGGUGAUGACCAGGAAGAGGGCUCGGUGCGUGAACGUGAGGAAUGGUGCACCCUUGCAGAUGUUGUCAAUGGAGUAAGUUGGAUUAUAUUUACCUGUGAAGAUAUAUUGGUUGUGCCCUUCUUCGAUUGGUGUCAGGUUUUCCCUAGAAUCACAUCUUUGAUGCGAGAUCUGGUAGAUAUGAAGAAUUUGGUUGAGUUGCAUCGAUUGAGAUGGUAGCACACAGGGAGACUGCAUUUGACCUGGCCAAGUUCGUCGACAAGGAUGUCCAUGUGAAGCUCACCGGCAGCCGGCAAGGUCAUAUCAUCAUUGGCUUCUCCUCCGAGGCUUGAUGGUGUUCUGAGUGUUGAUGUCAAUGACUUCCAAACCAAUAUGGUGCCCUACCCAAGGAUCCACUUCAUGCUUUCCUCCUAUGCGCGAAAUUUAGGCGGAGUACAGGUCAACAUUAUGCGAUACCGUAGAACUACAGUUCUCCAUUGAGUCAAUGAUGUGCCCCUGGAAUCGUCCUGUGCCUGGGUGCUAAUUGAUGUAUUUUCCUUGUAUCGCAAGGACAAGGCGCUGACGCUGUUGCUCCAGAUGCGCAGUCGCUGCCGCCAUUAGAAAGAUGCCGAUCUAUUGCUGCUAGUUGACCCCCUGCGCCGCUGCACGCCAGACGAAUGAUCGACGUAACUGUCGUUACAAUCAGUGGAAUUAGUUUAGGCCAUUUGAAGUUGCAUAAGCAUCAUAGCUUAGUGCACGAUACGGCUGCCGGAGUUUGGUGCGACACAAAGUCAGUUGUCACAUCUCCCACGGCAGGGAAGAUAUAGUGCGGAUGCAGCCGAAGGUCGUGCUGGCCACCACUCCGUCCUGCUAUUACCUCCCCAACCUGCUGCUGCCAGUGAGUUACCUCUCCUCCUGCUCCUCCAGACAUCGAUGAAGAGAAGGUUUCGCAGGGUCAUGGACCUCGUCCAAAACGCCAUGCGGCCUACAAUUCCGUGAUGACCCUCAGUAUUCUUGGGACCACAAGCAUGUUCAACUCGUACCAUACAUGACCCUUCUCCACUUGCAAGUUUUGGCCUUGUUCUGGCACGGUAACACUGCUUGAAGCCGUCAGCCAGGCUUUUAUUUUGCCCCCCUCCUCCAGUUGGUUGUAACUACGCGGUGAAGUGCAUGUGGAGGAGGAAAAUGAUUGAGGAACUUCAUUUUAUCAUGUGUAUAAAUAAUAGUGGUUAGGUAUUAGAUGGUGAUACUGACAUUUUGUAUGUUACAACAUGUACCCAUGGAUUGUAAUUGUAAGAGAAGAUGAAAUUCAAUCUAGUGAGGUGUACUAGGGCAGUAAACAUAGACAUAUUCUUGUAGUGCUACCGAAAAAUAACCUGGUAGCACUAAAUUCUGAGAAGAUGUAUCUGAAAUUCUGAAUUGGUUUCUAGUACACUAUAUAUGUCUGAUGAGUUGAGAUGGAGUUGGCUAUAA
Lolium perenne is the source of this 2584-nucleotide non-coding RNA. Lineage: Eukaryota; Viridiplantae; Streptophyta; Magnoliopsida; Poales; Poaceae. The record is from RefSeq and is a predicted model, not a curated record.